Molecule: ribosomal RNA, 253 nt
Filed under: uncultured bacterium
Lineage: Bacteria
Description: partial 16S ribosomal RNA
Rfam family: Bacterial small subunit ribosomal RNA
Source: RNAcentral
GACAGAGGUGCCAAGCGUUAGGCGGAAUCACUGGGCUUAAAGCGUGUGUAGGCGGACUUGUAAGUACCUUGUGAAAUCCCACGGCUCACCCGUGGAACUGCUGGGUAUACUGCGAGUCUUGAGCCACUUAGGGGCUGUCGGAACAGACGGUGGAGCGGUGAAAUGCGUUGAUAUCGUGAGGAACACCGGAGGCGAAAGCGGCUCACUGGGGCUUCACUGACGCUGAGGCACGAAAGCUAGGGGAGCAAACGGG